AGUGAACGCUGGCGGUAGGCCUAACACAUGCAAGUCGAACGGCAGCACAGUAAGAGCUUGCUCUUACGGGUGGCGAGUGGCGGACGGGUGAGGAAUACAUCGGAAUCUACUUUUUCGUGGGGGAUAACGUAGGGAAACUUACGCUAAUACCGCAUACGACCUACGGGUGAAAGCAGGGGAUCUUCGGACCUUGCGCGAUUGAAUGAGCCGAUGUCGGAUUAGCUAGUUGGCGGGGUAAAGGCCCACCAAGGCGACGAUCCGUAGCUGGUCUGAGAGGAUGGGAGGCCACGCGGGAAAUGAGACCCGGUCCAGACUCCUACGGGAGGAAGCAGGAGGGAAUCUUGAGAAAGGGGCGACAGCCUGACGGAGCAAUGCCGCGUGAGUGAUGAAGGCCUUCGUAUCUUCAAACUAUGUUACUAGGGAAGACCAAAUGUGUAAGGAACUAUGCACGUCUUGACGGUACCUAAUCAGAAAGCCACGGCUAACUACGUG
Molecule: ribosomal RNA, 492 nt
Filed under: uncultured bacterium
Lineage: Bacteria
Description: partial 16S ribosomal RNA
Rfam family: Bacterial small subunit ribosomal RNA
Source: RNAcentral